This 1013-nucleotide ribosomal RNA is filed under the name uncultured Fusobacterium sp. RNAcentral describes it as "bacterial SSU rRNA". The stretch from base 1 to 819 matches the Rfam family "Bacterial small subunit ribosomal RNA". Lineage: Bacteria; Fusobacteriati; Fusobacteriota; Fusobacteriia; Fusobacteriales; Fusobacteriaceae. The record is from RNAcentral.
GAUGAACGCUGACAGAAUGCUUAACACAUGCAAGUCGACUCGAGUCUUCGGACUUGGGUGGCGCACGGGUGAGUAACGCGUAAAGAACUUGCCUCUUAGACCGGGACAACAUCUGGAAACGGAUGCUAAUACCGGAUAUUAUGGUUUUUUCGCAUGGAGGAAUCAUGAAAGCUAGAUGCGCUAAGAGAGAGCUUUGCGUCCCAUUAGCUGGUUGGUGAGGUAACGGCCCACCAAGGCAAUGAUGGGUAGCCGGCCUGAGAGGGUGAACGGCCACAAGGGGACUGAGACACGGCCCUUACUCCUACGGGAGGCAGCAGUGGGGAAUAUUGGACAAUGGACCGCAAGUCUGAUCCAGCAAUUCUGUGUGCACGAUGACGUUUCUCGGAAUGUAAAGUGCUUUCAGUCGGGAAGAAGUCAGUGACGGUACCGACAGAAGAAGCGACGGCUAAAUACGUGCCAGCAGCCGCGGUAAUACGUAUGUCGCAAGCGUUAUCCGGAUUUAUUGGGCGUAAAGCGCGUCUAGGCGGCAAGGAAAGUCUGAUGUGAAAAUGCGGAGCUCAACUCCGUAUGGCGUUGGAAACUGCCUUACUAUAGUACUGGAGAGGUAGGCGGAACUACAAGUGUAGAGGUGAAAUUCUUAGAUAUUUGUAGGAAUGCCGAUGGGGAAGCCAGCCUACUGGACAGAUACUGACGCUAAAGCGCGAAAGCGUGUGUAGCAAACAGGAUUAUAUACCCUAGUAGUCCAGGGCGAAAUCCACAGUGUGAUAUCAAGCUUAUCGUGACUGUCUACCCGAGGUGGGGGAAAGGAAACCCAUCUUAUGUUUCCUUUAUUAGGGUAAUUACAUGUGUCUUCCUCCUAUCCCUCUCCCUGCUCUGGUACUCCCAGUGUUCUUCAUGUAUAUAUAUGUGUCUAUUUUGUGCCUCCUGUCUCUUCCCUGUGCUGUAGAUAUUUAACUUGUUUAGUAAAUAUUAUACUAGUGUCCUUCUGUUUGCUCGUCUGUUGCCCUGUACCU